Long non-coding RNA from Astatotilapia calliptera (eastern happy), 1568 nucleotides. The record is from Ensembl. NCBI's taxonomy places the organism in Eukaryota, Metazoa, Chordata, Actinopteri, Cichliformes, Cichlidae.
GGUGCACAGUCAAAAAGUGUGUGGUACAGCCGUCACUCCCUUUCCUCUUCUGGCCCACAGCAUCGUCUACAUUUGGCACUAUGCAGUUGGGAUUUUGGAAAACUGGACAGGAGCAAAAAACUGCUCUCUGCAGUCUGUCUGAAUGGAAAUACCUCUGCAAGCACGAUCUGUGGCGGCUAAACGCAUAGUGAGGGUGUGCUGAGAACGCUAGACGCCCCAGUCUGCAAGAUCUUCAACUCUUUCCCCUGGCAACUCUUUCCUUCAACGUCUCUUUGAAAAGCUGUCAAAGCAAUUCAAAGGGACAUUGAGUCUUAAUGGACCACAUUAAAUUGCUUAAUCUGCUGCACUGAGCUGCAGCCACAAGGUGGUUGGUGCCUGGUGUGGAAGUUGCUAUGAGCCAUUUGAUCCUUACACAACUGUUGCAAGAGCAUGGUCAACAUAGCCGGCAAUAAGUCAGAGUCGUUCUCGGUGGGUGUUGGACUUCACCAGGGACAGAAUUACUAGGUGUAGCCAAGUAGUGGAAGGAUUCCACUUGGGUGGUCUCAGAAUCUAAUCUCUGCCUUUUGCAGAUGAUGUUGUUCUGUUGGCUUUAUCAGGUGGUGGCCUCCAACUCACGCUGGAGUGGUUCGCAGCCAAGUGUGAAGUGGUGGGAAUGAAAAUCAGCACCUGAAAAUCUGAGGCAAUGGUUCUCAGCCCACUCUGCGUCGGGACAAGUUUCCACCCCGAGUGGAGGAGCUUAAAUAUCUCGGGUCUUGUUCACAAGUGAGGUGAGCGGGAGAUCGACAGAUGGAUUGGUGCUGUGGCUGCAGUGAUGUAGACGCUGUACCGAGGGCAGACCCAAGCUACACUGGAAAGAGGUUAUAUAUUUCGGCUGGCCUGGGAAUGUCUUGGUAUUCCUCUGGACAAGCUGGAGGUGUUGGCCAGGGAGAGGGAGGUCUUGGCUUCUUUGCUUAGGCUGCUGUCCCCAUGACCCAACCCCAGAUAAGCAGAGGAAAACGGAUGGAUGGAUGGAUGGAUGAAUGGAUGGAUGGAUGGAUGGAUGAAUGGAUGGAUGGAUGAAUGGACUGAGUCCAUGAAGUCAACGUAGAGUUUACUGAGGUCACAAAUGUCGCAACCAGAAGAGUCGCCCCCUCCUGGCCAUUUACAAAAAAGGCAGGUUUGAGGCAAUUCAAAGCUAAUGGCUUCAUUUUUUAGACCAAGAAGUGGUCACCAUCUUCGUAUGCAGUCUAGAUAUACACUGAAAAAAAGGGACUGGCCAUCUCUUGGAUUUAUGUAAGCAUCUUGCAUGCAUUUAACACAAUUGCCUCAUGUUUUAAAGUUAAAUGUAACUAUAUAGUGUAAAAACUACAUGAUAUGCAGAAAGGGUGUAUUAAAUUGUUCAUAUCAUGUUCAGGUGACGUAAGUCAAUAAGAUAGCAACGUUAAAUCUCGUGAAACCACGCGUGAUUUCAUCUCGCGGGCUUUGGAUCGUGGUUUAAAAAAGGCAUCCAUCUCAGUCAAGUCGAGCAGCCAACUCUACGUUUUUGGUAUGUCUUGAUUUUUUGAAUUCAUUUUUACCAUAAUUCAGCC